UUUUUUUCCCUCUUCUUCUCUCUGGGCAAUGUACGGGAAUAAGGUGUGGAUCGACAGUUGUGAUCACGGUGGUCCAGUGAGGUGGCAAUGACAGGCAGGGAAGAAUAGCCGGCGGCAGUGGCCAGCUAGCUAAAAUUAGCCCAAAGACAAGGCUGAACAUGGGAUUCUUGGCUCGGUUGUCCUAGGAUCUCAGCCCUUUCGCCGAUGGCUGGGGGUCCGGCUUUAGCUAGGGGCUAAAGCAAAGGAGGGGCUGAGGCCCUCUGCGAUGAACGCCAGCAGCAGAGAUGGUUGAAAGAAGAAAAAACAAGCUUAGUAAUAGUGUCGGAACAGGGUAAGUGAAUAGGGCCCUUUCCAACCAUUAUUUCCAGCGAAUUCAAAACUAGUGACAAGAUCUAUCGAAAAGAAAAACAAAGAAAAGGGAGAUGGGGGCUUAUCUUGACUCCAGCAAGCUUCUUCGGCCUCGAUUUUCGGCAGCCACAGUGAGAGGAAAUAGACAAAAACAAGAAGAAAGAGUGAGAAAAAAGAGAAAAGAUGGGAUUGUGCUCAUGGU
RNAcentral lists this long non-coding RNA (550 nucleotides) under Phoenix dactylifera (date palm). Its description in RNAcentral is "long non-coding RNA (PDAC_LNC017964)". The record is from RNAcentral. Lineage: Eukaryota; Viridiplantae; Streptophyta; Magnoliopsida; Arecales; Arecaceae.